Homo sapiens (human) is the source of this 2014-nucleotide long non-coding RNA. Lineage: Eukaryota; Metazoa; Chordata; Mammalia; Primates; Hominidae. The record is from Ensembl.
UCUAAGCGUAUUUCGUCCCCGGUUCCGCCGCAGGUGCCGGCUAUGCCAUCGGCGACUUACUCUUCUAAGCGUAUUUUGUUCCUGGUUCCGCCGCAGGUUCCGGCCACGCGAUUGGCAACGUGCUCUUCUAAGCGUAUUUUGUUCCUGGUUCCACCACAGGUCCCCGCCAUACCAUCAGCAACCUGCUCGUCUUGUCCGUGAGGCCUUCCCAGCUGGCUGGGCUCACCCCAUGGCUCCUGCACCUGUGCCUGCCCUGGGAACCUUGGGCUGUUACCGAUUCCUCUUCAACCCUCGGCAACAUCUUGGGCCUUCUUUUCCAGCCAGGCGGUAUGGCGCCCCUAGGAGGCUGUGUUUUCUCCCUCAGAACACGGGCACCCCACUGAGGGUCCUGCCUUCUGUGUUCUGGAGCCCCCCCUCAAGGAAGAAACCCGUGCUGUCUGCUCGCAACUCCAGGAUGUUUGGACACCUCAGCCCCGUGAGGAUCCCUCAUCUCAGAGGCAAGUUUAACCUCAGACUUCCUUCAUUAGAUGAGCAGGUGAUCCCAGCCAGGCUUCCGAAGAUGGAGGUGAGGGCAGAAGAGCCCAAAGAAGCAACGGAGGUCAAAGACCAGGUAGAGACCCAGGAGCAGGAAGACAAUAAAAGGGGCCCCUGUAGCAAUGGGGAAGCAGCCUCCACCUCUAGGCCCCUGGAGACUCAGGGAAACCCCACUUCCCCCCGGUACAAUCCCAGGCCCUUGGAGGGAAAUGUCCAGCUCAAGAGCUUGACAGAAAACAACCAGACUGACAAGGCCCAGGUACAUGCAGUGAGUUUCUACUCCAAGGGCCAUGGAGUCGCCAGUUCACACAGCCCUGCUGGAGGCUUCCCAAGGGGAAGGACGCCUCCAGCAAGGCAACAUGGAUAAGAACAUGGGGAUGUCCAAGAGAUGAAAACAGCUGCUUGAGGGGAGAAAGAAGACAUGGCAGGGCAGGUGUGGUGGCUCACGCCUGUAAUCCAGCACUUUGAGAAGCCCAGGCAGGUGGAUCAGAAGGUCAAGAGAUUGAGACCUGAGGAGCAUCUCUGCCUGGUCCCUGCACCAUCUGGGAAGUGAGGAGCGCCUCUGCCCAGCCGCCUCACAGUCUGGGAAGUGAGGAGCACCUCUGCCCAGCCGCCCCACUGUGUGGGAAGAGAGGAGCACCUCUGCCUGGCCACCGCCCCGUCUGGGAGGUGAGGAGCACCUCUGCCCAGCACUCCCCCCGCACCCCCCAUCCCACCGCCUGAGAAGUGAGGAGUGCCUCUGCCUGGCUAGGCACCGCCUGGGAAGUGAGGAGCGCCUCUACCUGGCCGCCUCACAGUCUGGGAAGUGAAGAGCACCUCUGCCUGGCCACUGCAGCGUCUGGGAAGUAAGGAGGCCCCAGCUCAGCAGCCACCGCAUCUGGGAGGUCAGGAGCACCUCUGUCGGGCAGGCCCACUGUCUGGGAAGUGAGGAGCGCCUCUGCCCGGAACCCAACUGUCUGGUAAAUGAGAAGCGCCUCUGCCUGGCCACCCCACCAUCUGGGAAGCGAGGAAUGCCUCUGCCCUGCCCGCCUAUCAUCUGGGAAGUGAGGAACACCUCUGCCCGGCAAUCCCGCCAUCUGGGAAUUGAGGAGCGCCUCUGCCCAAUCCCACCGUCUGGGAAGUGAGGAGCGCCUCUGCCCUGCCCCCGCAAGGUCUGCGAAGUGAGAAGAGCCUCUGCCCAAUCCCACCCUCUGCCAAGUGAGGAGCGCCUCUGCCCUGCCCCCACACCAUCUGGGAAGUGAGGAGCGCCUCUGCCCUGCCACCGCCCCUCUGUCUGGGAAGUGAGGAGCACCUCUGCCCAGCAGCAGCCACGUCUGGGAGGUCAGGAGUGCCUCUGCCCAGCUGCCCCACCAUCUGAGAAGUGAGGGGCGCCUCUGCCCGGCUGCUGUGCAACCGUCCAAGUGUGAAGUGACAGCCUUGUGUGUGAUCUUUCUGCCCUCCCCAAGUUUGCAUUUUCGACAUUAAAGUUUACUUUUAUUUA